This 703-nucleotide long non-coding RNA is filed under the name Sinocyclocheilus anshuiensis. RNAcentral's name for it is "lncRNA (ENSSANG00000014189.1)". Lineage: Eukaryota; Metazoa; Chordata; Actinopteri; Cypriniformes; Cyprinidae. The record is from RNAcentral.
ACUGUCCUCUUAGGUAACUGUGUUUGCUCUUCCACCAUAAAGCCAUCGACUUUGGGAUGUUCGCGACAAUGUCCUUCCAGAGAGUUCGGCAGUUGAGGGUUUUGAAGUUCCUUUGGUUGGAUAGUUGGAUUCAAAGGAACGUCUCCAUUGUCACAACUCUGCACCAAAGCAAACAAUGUCAAGAAGCCUGUCAGAUAUACAAGAAUAAAGAAGGCAAAACCAAAAACUAUAAUCGAUAUUGCCAAAUUACUGCAGCAAAAGGCCAAGGAGACCAAAGAGAAGAAACAAUCAGUGAUCACUGCUUCUGCAUUGAAAGCUGCUACUAGUUCAACCAAACCGACUACACCAGAUAAAUUGAAUGACCGGAGUGAUGCCAAAGAAAUUAUUAUUUCCAAUGCAAAAAUUCAAACUUCUGCCAGCACCCUUCCAGCAAAAGAUGCUGUGGAUAGUUAUUCAGCACCUGACACUGCCAUAGUCGAUUCUUCUGUGAAUUUUGCAUAUUCAAAAGAUGUUGACCAAAUGGCCACGGAAGGUCUGCAUAAUAAGACAUACACUGAAAUUAUGAAUGCAAAAGAUGCAGCACCCCAAGCUGUUGAGUCAGCUGUAGAAUCGCCCAUAAUUAAUGCUCCACAAGAGGCUUCAACUCAAGGAGAGAUGACAACAAAUAUCAGUCAAGUUUCUGAGCUGUCUUCAGCAAACCUCU